Molecule: transfer RNA, 76 nt
Filed under: Desulfurivibrio sp.
Lineage: Bacteria; Pseudomonadati; Thermodesulfobacteriota; Desulfobulbia; Desulfobulbales; Desulfobulbaceae
Description: tRNA-Lys
Rfam family: tRNA
About the family: Transfer RNA (tRNA) molecules are approximately 80 nucleotides in length. Their secondary structure includes four short double-helical elements and three loops (D, anti-codon, and T loops).
Source: RNAcentral
GGGCCGUUAGCUCAAUCGGUAGAGCAUCUGACUCUUAAUCAGCAGGUCCGCGGUUCGAUCCCGCGACGGCCCACCA